This 253-nucleotide ribosomal RNA is filed under the name uncultured bacterium. Its description in RNAcentral is "partial 16S ribosomal RNA". It matches the Rfam family "Bacterial small subunit ribosomal RNA", at positions 524 to 776 of the family's 1533-position model. The record is from RNAcentral.
UACGGGGGGGGCAAGCGUUGUUCGGAAUUACUGGGCGUAAAGGGCGCGUAGGCGGUUGGAUAAGUCAGCUGUGAAAACCACGAGCUUAACUCGUGGCCUGCAGUUGAGACUGUCUGGCUUGAGUGUGGGAGAGGAGAGUGGAAUUCCUGGUGUAGCGGUGAAAUGCGUAGAUAUCAGGAGGAACACCGGUGGCGAAGGCGGCAUCCUGGACCGGUAUUGACGCUGAGGCGCGAAAGCUAGGGGAGCAAACGGG